RNAcentral lists this ribosomal RNA (253 nucleotides) under uncultured bacterium. Its description in RNAcentral is "partial 16S ribosomal RNA". It matches the Rfam family "Bacterial small subunit ribosomal RNA", at positions 524 to 776 of the family's 1533-position model. The record is from RNAcentral.
UACGGAGGGGGCUAGCGUUGUUCGGAAUUACUGGGCGUAAAGCGCGCGUAGGCGGCUUUGCAAGUCAGAGGUGAAAGCCCGGGGCUCAACCCCGGAAUUGCCUUUGAGACUGCAUCGCUAGAAUUGUGGAGAGGUAAGUGGAAUUCCGAGUGUAGAGGUGAAAUUCGUAGAUAUUCGGAAGAACACCAGUGGCGAAGGCGACUUACUGGACACAUAUUGACGCUGAGGCGCGAAAGCGUGGGGAGCAAACAGG